UGGGGAAUCUUGCGCAAUGGGGGGAACCCUGACGCAGCGACCCCCCGUGCGGGACGGAGGCCUUCGGGUCGUAAACCGCUUUCAGCAGGGAAGAGUCAAGACGGUACCUGAAUAAGAAGCCCCGGCUAACUACGUGCCAGCAGCCGCGGUAAUACGUAGGGGGCAAGCGUUAUCCGGAAUUACUGGGUGUAAAGGGAGCGUAGGCGGCACGCCCAGCCAGAUGUGAAAGCCCGAGGCUUAACCUCGCGGAUUGCAUUUGGAACUGGCGAGCUAGAGUACAGGAGAGGAAAGCGGAAUUCCUAGUGUAGCGGUGAAAUGCGUAGAUAUUAGGAAGAACACCAGUGGCGAAGGCGGCUUUCUGGACUGAAACUGACGCUGAGGCUCGAAAGCGUGGGGAGCAAACAGGAUUAGAUACUCUGGUAGUCCACGCCGUAAACGAUGAGUGCUAGGUGUCGGGGAGGAAUCCUCGGUGCCGCAGCUAACGCAAUAAGCACUCCACCUGGGGAGUACGACCGCAAGGUUGAAACUCAAAGGAAUUGACGGGGGCCCGCACAAGCGGUGGAGCAUGUGGUUUAAUUCGACGCAACGCGAAGAACCUUACCAAGUCUUGACAUCCUGCGACGGUUCUGGAAACAGAACUUUCCUUCGGGACGCAGAGACAGGUGGUGCAUGGUUGUCGUCAGCUCGUGUCGUGAGAUGUUGGGUUAAGUCCCGCAACGAGCGCAACCCUUAUGGUCAGUUACUACGCAAGAGGACUCUGGCCAGACUGCCGUUGACAAAACGGAGGAAGGUGGGGAUGACGUCAAAUCAUCAUGCCCCUUAUGAUUUGGGCUACACACGUGCUACAAUGGCGUAAACAAAGGGAAGCGAACCUGCGAGGGUGGGCAAAUCCCAAAAAUAACGUCCCAGUUCGGACUGUAGUCUGCAACCCGACUACACGAAGCUGGAAUCGCUAGUAAUCGCGGAUCAGCAACGCCGCGGUGAAUGCGUUCCC
This 994-nucleotide ribosomal RNA is filed under the name uncultured bacterium. RNAcentral describes it as "bacterial SSU rRNA". It matches the Rfam family "Bacterial small subunit ribosomal RNA", at positions 355 to 1375 of the family's 1533-position model. The record is from RNAcentral.